This 202-nucleotide unclassified non-coding RNA is filed under the name uncultured Diversispora. RNAcentral's name for it is "sequence contains ITS2". Lineage: Eukaryota; Fungi; Glomeromycota; Glomeromycetes; Diversisporales; Diversisporaceae. The record is from RNAcentral.
AAAUAACAUUCGUGAUUUUUUUUUGCGGAUUUGAGUUUUCCAGUAUUUAUUAUUAUUAUAAAUAAAUGUUGGUGACUUUAAAAUUAUUUAUUACUUGGUACAAGUUGAAAACGUGCUAUAUGUGUGGUUCGCUGACAACUUGUCCAUCUUUAUAUAUUAUGCGUGUACUUGAUUUUUUAUCUGUACGAGUAUAUAUUUUUUU